UACAAAAAAUAGUACAGCUGUCGCCAUGGCCAACUUCUGAGCAUUAAAUGAUCAGCAGUUGUUUUCCUUGCAUAUAGGUUAUUUUUAAUUGCUGGUUGGAACCUUUUCCUUUCCCCAGUCCAGAAUGGUGUAUUAAACAAGACUGUACAUUUAAAACACAGCUUGACUUGACCUAAAAUUGAAACAAUCUCCCCAAAGCUAAUUCUGUCCCCUAGCAAUCUAUGGGAAGUAGAAAUGCUCCGAUUUAACAGAUAUGAACAAGUAUUUUGAUAUUAAGUUACCUAUUUCAGCAGCACUCAGCACUGAAGCAAUUGGUAAAUUGAGGACUGACCUGCACUAAUUUUGCACCAGCCUUUUAAACGAAUGUGUUUCUAUUGGGAUAGUAUAAGCUCACCUUGCAAUGUCUGUAAACACUGUCCUGUUUUGAUAUCCCAGAUUUUGACUGUUGAGUCUGCAUUCCCAGACACAAGAAUAUUGUCUUUCAGUUCCAUUCCACUUGUUAAUGACUGGUGGCCCGUUAAUGUGUGAAUGCAGUUUCCCGUCUCCACAUCCCAAACUCGGAUUGAAGUGUCAAGAGAUCCACUCACUACAUGGAUGCCAUCAAACUAAAAAAAGGUUAUCCUCAGCCAGAAUUCUCCAAUAACGGCAUGUCUGUGCUGCCUGUAGAAGGUCCUUGGGUUCCAGGAAUGAAAGCACAUAUAGUGCCAACUGUAAAGAGGAGAACCCAUCCUCAACACACAGGAUUCUGAAGACUAUCCACCUUCAAGAUCACUAUCAUUUUCUAUAGUUUCAGAGUUAUCUGACAAUGAUAGUGUUUCAAUCACAUCAUGUAUGUCAUAUAGCCAC
Mauremys mutica (yellowpond turtle) is the source of this 846-nucleotide long non-coding RNA. RefSeq lists it as uncharacterized. The record is from RefSeq and is a predicted model, not a curated record. The transcript is spliced from 3 exons. Lineage: Eukaryota; Metazoa; Chordata; Testudines; Geoemydidae.